UACGUAGGGUGCAAGCGUUGUCCGGAAUUAUUGGGCGUAAAGAGCUCGUAGGCGGUCUGUCACGUCGGCUGUGAAAACCCGAGGCUCAACCUCGGGCCUGCAGUCGAUACGGGCAAACUAGAGUACUGCAGGGGAGACUGGAAUUCCUGGUGUAGCGGUGAAAUGCGCAGAUAUCAGGAGGAACACCGGUGGCGAAGGCGACCUUCUGGGCCGCAACUGACGCUGAGGCACGAAAGCCUGGGGAGCGAACGGG
Molecule: ribosomal RNA, 253 nt
Filed under: uncultured bacterium
Lineage: Bacteria
Description: partial 16S ribosomal RNA
Rfam family: Bacterial small subunit ribosomal RNA
Source: RNAcentral